This 507-nucleotide ribosomal RNA is filed under the name uncultured bacterium. RNAcentral describes it as "bacterial SSU rRNA". It matches the Rfam family "Bacterial small subunit ribosomal RNA", at positions 27 to 518 of the family's 1533-position model. The record is from RNAcentral.
GGACGAACGCUGGCGGCGUAGCCUAACACAUGCAAGUCGAGCGGGGACAUACGACGGAGUCAAAGUCUUCGGAUGGAGACGAAGAUGUAUGUUCUAGCGGCGGACGGGUGAGUAACGCGUGAGCAACCUGUCCCUUACAGGGGGAUAACACAGCGAAAGUUGUACUAAUACCGCAUGAGACCACGGGAGGACAUCCUCCAGGGGUCAAAGGAGCAAUCCGGUAAGGGGUGGGCUCGCGUCCGAUUAGAUAGUUGGUGAGGUAACGGCCCACCAAGUCGACGAUCGGUAGCCGACCUGAGAGGGUGAUCGGCCACAUUGGGACUGAGACACGGCCCAAACUCCUACGGGAGGCAGCAGUGGGGAAUAUUGGGCAAUUGGGGGGAAACCCUGACCCAGCAACGCCGCGUGAGGGAAGAAGGUUUUCGGAUCGUAAACCUCUGUCCUUGGUGAAGAGUAAGAGACGGUAGCCAAGGAGGAAGCCCCGGCUAACUACGUGCCAGCAGCCGC